UACAUAGGGUGCGAGCGUUAAUCGGAAUUACUGGGCGUAAAGCGCGCGUAGACGGUUAUUUAAGUCGGGCGUGAAAGCCCCGGGCUCAACCUGGGAAUUGCAUUCGAGACUGAAUAGCUAGGGUACGGUAGAGGGAAGCGGAAUUUCCGGUGUAGCGGUGAAAUGCGUAGAUAUCGGAAGGAACAUCAGUGGCGAAAGCGGCUUCCUGGACCAGUACCGACGUUCAGGCACGAAAGCGUGGGGAGCAAACAGG
RNAcentral lists this ribosomal RNA (253 nucleotides) under uncultured bacterium. Its description in RNAcentral is "partial 16S ribosomal RNA". It matches the Rfam family "Bacterial small subunit ribosomal RNA", at positions 524 to 776 of the family's 1533-position model. The record is from RNAcentral.